Molecule: self-splicing intron, 272 nt
Filed under: Candidatus Peregrinibacteria bacterium GW2011_GWA2_54_9
Lineage: Bacteria; Candidatus Peregrinibacteriota
Also listed under: 2 other names
Rfam family: Bacterial large subunit ribosomal RNA
Source: RNAcentral
AGGGUGUCCCUGAGUAGGGUCGGACACGUGAAAUCCGGCCUGAAUCUGGGUGGACCACUACCCAAGCCUAAACAGGUACAGAGAUCUAUAGUGAAUAGUACCGCGAGGGAACGGUGAAAAGUACCCCGGAAGGGGGAUGAAAUAGACCCUGAAAUGUAUUGCGUUCAAGGAGUGGGAGCCCUGCACUUGUUGCGGGGUGACCGCGUGCCUUUUGCAUAAUGAGCCAACGAGUUAGUUGUCAGUGGCUGGUUAAGGCAGAGUUAGCCGGAGCC